This is a non-coding RNA of Oncorhynchus mykiss (rainbow trout), 2045 nucleotides long. The record is from RefSeq and is a predicted model, not a curated record. NCBI's taxonomy places the organism in Eukaryota, Metazoa, Chordata, Actinopteri, Salmoniformes, Salmonidae.
UGUUUCAUGUGAGAGGAGGAGCGCGGGAGCAUUGGUAAUGUAGUUCCCGGGUACCUACGCCCCCUUUCGACCCAAACCGCUAGCCAAACUGCAAACGACUACAUUUCCCGACCAAUCAUGCAUAAAUCCAGGAAGUCAGGUUCCUCAAGCUGGUCGCUUAUCGUUGCCAAGUUGCCAACAUAAAACAGAAUGGCAAAUGGGUUCUUUAGAUGUUUUGAAUGCAAUAAGGACGCGCACGAGCUUCGCAAAGAUUACAGUAAUGGGAUCUUGAAGAUAAUAAUAUGUGAAUCCUUCCAAAGGCCUGUGGACAAGUACAUUGAAUAUGAUCAGUCAUUAUUCUGAUUGGUGCCAUGUUAUGCUAAACUCAAGCCUUCACACACAUUCUGUUCAACAUUACAUUGAAUGUAUGUACAGUAAGACACUCAAAUAACGAUUCACCAGAGUCAGAUUACAGUGCAUGAUUUCAAAAAUGGAUGAGACUUGAUGCAUGUUGCGUUGCAUUUUCAUUUUCUCUGCAGAGAGACACAAGACAUGAUGGUAUGUCUUAUUGAUGGUUUCCUCUAUAGAUUCACUAGAAGCUGUGUGUGUUUUGCCUGCUGUGUGAGUUCUACCUGAGGUGGUCACAAAUGCAGGGAUUUGAACAGAACAAUGACCCUGCAGACAUCAUUAGAUACACCAACGAAUGGGAAUGUUUGGGAUGGCAGCUCUUGGUGUAUUGCUCAUGGAAAAAGCACAUUAUUACUAUAACAACUCAUGCACUCAUCAACAAACAUGCAUAUGACAAUGUUAAUAUCAAUGUUAUAACAAUGUUUCCAAGUGUGGUUGAAGUGACAAAUUCUGCUUUCUUUUCACAAUGAUUCCAUACAAAUUACAGUCUUCUGCUGGUUGGUACUGAUUUCAUGUUCAUUUGUCUACAGAAUUGGGUGCGUUCUCUGUCGGAGUGCUGUCCUUCCUUUAGCUGGUUUAGAUGCUGCUUGGCUAGGACUUUGAACUGAGCUUAAUGCUGAAAACCAUCCUGCUGUCCAGCUAUGGCAACAUUCUGCUCAUCCCUAUAGUCAUAUGGGAGCAUGACUAUUCCCCGCUCUGUUUCAACCUCAUCAAACUGUUUGUGCUCACGUCCAACUCUCAGGCUAUUAGAGGUACAUUAGCCAACUCCUCCCUCAGUGUACCAAUUCUCCCAUUAGAGUCACUCACAUUUAGCGCCAUCUCAGUUCCUGUUAAUUCAGCGAAUUAAUUGGGUAGAAAAUUGAUUGAAAAGUUCUCAUAACUCAUUAUUGAUACUAGUAAAUAACCUACUUCACACAUCGAGCCCCAUAUCUAUCUACUUUUCACAUCAGUCAUGUUUUAUUAAAAUAGAAACCAUCAGCUCACAGGGUAAUGAUUAGGAGCAGGAACAUUGAUGUGCACCAGCAGAUGGCAGCUCAUACACCUAGCUUGAAAAUCCAUGUUCGAACAUGAAUUCUGUUAUUCUCUAGAGUUACUAAAUAGUUAUAAAUGGUCCCAAAAUUGUCCAAAACGAAUCCAUUCAUUCACUAAAACUGCAUUACCAUUAUACUUUGUUUUUUUCACCCAACAAUCAGGCCCACAAAGCAAGCAUUAGUCUCUGUGUGGCCCUUGUGGUUUUUCACAAUACACAGGGUAAUGGCCCUUGUCGUGCUGCUGGUCAAGUUUUUGCAUUUCUGCCUGCGGCUAUGGAACCCUGACCUCUUCAACAGUUGUGCUACCUUGUCCUGGAGCUGCGGUUUCCACCCCCCCUCUCAACCUCUAAAUGCUCGGCUAUGUCAUUCUAUACUGCAGCAGAAGGCUCUCCCCGCUGGCUGUGUGUGUGGGUCUGCUAUUGGAGACGUGCAUAGCCCAGGCAUUUCAGACACUUCCAUGGAGUAUACCGGACAUCCUGCCGUUCCAGUGACCUGUUUCAGGCCGGUCCUAAAGAACACACUGUUACAAUGGCGCCUAUUAUACCCGGGACCAGAGAGCGGAGGACCUGAGCCCUAAGACCAUGCCUCAGGACUACCUGGCAUGAUGACUCCUUGCUGUCCCCAGUC